AGUGAACGCUGGCGGUAGACCUAACACAUGCAAGUCGAACGGCAGCACAGUAAGAGCUUGCUCUUACGGGUGGCGAGUGGCGGACGGGUGAGGAAUACAUCGGAAUCUACUUUUUCGUGGGGGAUAACGUAGGGAAACUUACGCUAAUACCGCAUACGACCUACGGGUGAAAGCAGGGGAUCUUCGGACCUUGCGCGAUUGAAUGAGCCGAUGUCGGAUUAGCUAGUUGGCGGGGUAAAGGCCCACCAAGGCGACGAUACGUAGCUGGUCUGAGAGGAUGAUCAGCCACACUGGAACUGAGACACGGUCCAGACUCCUACGGGAGGCAGCAGUGGGGAAUAUUGGACAAUGGGCGCAAGCCUGAUCCAGCCAUACCGCGUGGGUGAAGAAGGCCUUCGGGUUGUAAAGCCCUUUUGUUGGGAAAGAAAAGCAGCAGGUUAAUACCCCGCUGUUCUGACGGUACCCAAAGAAUAAGCACCGGCUAACUUCGUG
RNAcentral lists this ribosomal RNA (492 nucleotides) under uncultured bacterium. RNAcentral's name for it is "partial 16S ribosomal RNA". It matches the Rfam family "Bacterial small subunit ribosomal RNA", at positions 29 to 507 of the family's 1533-position model. The record is from RNAcentral.